This 484-nucleotide ribosomal RNA is filed under the name uncultured bacterium. RNAcentral describes it as "partial 16S ribosomal RNA". It matches the Rfam family "Bacterial small subunit ribosomal RNA", at positions 30 to 507 of the family's 1533-position model. The record is from RNAcentral.
AUUGAACGCUGGCGGCAGGCCUAACACAUGCAAGUCGAGCGGAUGAAGGGAGCUUGCUCCUGGAUUCAGCGGCGGACGGGUGAGUAAUGCCUAGGAAUCUGCCUGGUAGUGGGGGAUAACGUCCGGAAACGGGCGCUAAUACCGCAUACGUCCCGAGGGAGAAAGUGGGGGAUCUUCGGACCUCACGCUAUCAGAUGAGCCUAGGUCGGAUUAGCUAGUUGGUGGGGUAAAGGCCUACCAAGGCGACGAUCCGUAACUGGUCUGAGAGGAUGAUCAGUCACACUGGAACUGAGACACGGUCCAGACUCCUACGGGAGGCAGCAGUGGGGAAUAUUGGACAAUGGGCGAAAGCCUGAUCCAGCCAUGCCGCGUGUGUGAAGAAGGUCUUCGGAUUGUAAAGCACUUUAAGUCGGGAGGAAGGGCAGUAAGUUAAUACCUUGCUGUUUUGACGUUACCAACAGAAUAAGCACCGGCUAACUUCGUG